UGCUGGAUCAUUAUCCCAUGUGAUUCACAC
RNAcentral lists this ribosomal RNA (30 nucleotides) under Scutellonema truncatum. RNAcentral's name for it is "partial 18S ribosomal RNA". The record is from RNAcentral. Lineage: Eukaryota; Metazoa; Nematoda; Chromadorea; Rhabditida; Hoplolaimidae.